GUGCUCGUUUCGGCAGCACAUAUACUAAAAUUGGAACGAUACAGAGAAGGUUAGCAAGGCCCCUGCGCAAGGAUGACACGCAAAUUUGUGAAGCGUUCCAUAUUUUU
Bos grunniens (domestic yak) is the source of this 107-nucleotide small nuclear RNA. The record is from Ensembl. Lineage: Eukaryota; Metazoa; Chordata; Mammalia; Artiodactyla; Bovidae.